This is a long non-coding RNA of Pieris brassicae (large cabbage white), 1634 nucleotides long. RefSeq lists it as uncharacterized. Lineage: Eukaryota; Metazoa; Arthropoda; Insecta; Lepidoptera; Pieridae. The record is from RefSeq and is a predicted model, not a curated record. The transcript is spliced from 4 exons.
UGCGCAUUGUAUGACCGAAAUAAGAUACGAUUGGUAGAUAGUGACCAUAUCAGUAUUAGAAAUCUUUUGUGUUUUAAAUAAAUACAUUGACUUGGCCAUCGUAGCAAACACAAUAUUCAAUUACAUUGUUUUGUGCGAUUCAGGAUUCUAACUUUAUCCACAACGAAGUUAAAGGGGUCGAAAAUGGCCUGAACUCAAGAAAAAGAUAGUAUGGCCCAGUUUAUUUUUUGCUCGACAUGGCGAGCGCAUCGCCUUGCCACCAAAUUAACUGAUAUUAUGAAACUUCUUUCACUCCUUGAAGGUCGUGUCUAGUACAUUAAAUAUAAUAAUGACAUAAUGUCAUUCAAAUUAUAAUAUUAAAAUAAAGGUCAUUUGUAUUCACAGAGUAGAGCAAGAUGUGACAGUGACUGUCUAAUGAUGAUUUUUGUUUUUGCACAGUUACUCUAACAAUUAAAAUAUUAUUUGAAAUUGCUUUUUCCAGGUAUCCAUGUCGAUAAUAAUAAUGAUGAACGCCAUCACGUUAUUUCUCAGCAUAUUCCUUUUCACAUCUGUCUAUGGUCUGGACGGCUCUGGUAGUUGGCUGAAUAGUUUUUCAAACAUGGGUCCUGGGUGAAAAAUCUUGAUUUGAGACCUAAUAUAGCCGUUCAUGUUUCACGGCCACGGGCGAAGUUGGUGAAUGCGGAUCAUAUUACAACUGUUAUGAUGCGCCCCAGGAUGAUAUAGGAAGCACAUCCGGAUGUUUACACUACCUUCAUGUCUGCUGUAUAAAUGUGCCUACCGAUGAUGAGGAUUUAGAAAUUUAAAACUUAAUUUAAUGAAAUGUUUUAGGUAGCAUAAUGCUCACUAAACAAUAGUUCAUUUAAUCUAUAAUUACAUUUACAGCCAGUUUUAAAGGGCGAUAAACUCUCCCUCUUUAAAUCGCCAUUUUAGUUUACAAGAGACGCGUUAAUCUAUAAUAAUUCUCAUGAGACAGCGAAAUAUAGUGAAGUGUAUUAAAGUGAACGGGAUACAAAAUGGUGUCUUUGUUCUGUGUUAUGAAACAUCUUGUUUAUGUUCUAAUAUGUACAAAAUUGACAAAAACUGCAGAAGACGAACUAAACAUCAAAAGAAACUUUAACUCUGACAGGAAUUACCGUAUUAAACGGGAAUUAAUUACAAUAUUCAUAUAAGACGUUGUCGUGGUUUUCAGCACCAGGUAUCUAUGCGAAUUACAAUAUAUUUCAAUGAAUGUUAUUGAAAUGUCAUUACCUAUAAAGAAAACAAAACUUGGAAGCUAUACUGCCGUUGGAGCUUAAAAUAAAUAUUAUCAGUAGAAUCCUUUUACCUAAUAUAGAUUGUUUUUAUUUCCGUAUACUACACACAAUUGACGUGGACAAACAACAAUUUUAUACCUUAUAUCUUCACGUCAUUUUCCCGGUAGGCCGACGAUCUUGCAAAAGUCCUGACAACUCUCUUGCUUCAUCCACUUUCAUGACAUCCACCAUGUAUGCUCGAAUAUGGCUACUUUUAAUUUGUACCUUCUCUUGUAUUGUUUCGUUGUAUAUCCUACUUAAGUGCUCUCAUUCAUCCGUCAGGCCUUGUACAGGGUGACCUUGUGUCUGAGAGACAUUUGACUCCUUUUAUUUAGGAGGAAA